UACGUAGGGUGCAAGCGUUGUUCGGAAUUACUGGGCGUAAAGCGCGCGUAGGCGGCUUUGUAAGUUAGAGGUGAAAGCCCGGAGCUCAACUCCGGAAUUGCCUUUAAGACUGCAUCGCUAGAACGUCGGAGAGGUGAGUGGAAUUCCGAGUGUAGAGGUGAAAUUCGUAGAUAUUCGGAAGAACACCAGUGGCGAAGGCGACUCACUGGACGACUGUUGACGCUGAGGUGCGAAAGCGUGGGGAGCAAACAGG
This 253-nucleotide ribosomal RNA is filed under the name uncultured bacterium. RNAcentral describes it as "partial 16S ribosomal RNA". It matches the Rfam family "Bacterial small subunit ribosomal RNA", at positions 524 to 776 of the family's 1533-position model. The record is from RNAcentral.